CCCUUAGAUGUCCUGGGCCGCACGCGCGCUACACUGAGUGUCUGAGAUACGAGUCUGCCUGGUCCGGCAAGGUCUAGGUAAUCGCUAAAAGACACAUCAUGCUUGGGAUAGAUUAUUGCAAAUAUUAAUCUUGAACGAGGAAUUCCUAGUAAGCGCAAGUCAACAGCUUGCGUUGAUUACGUCCCUGCCCUUUGUACACACCGCCCGUCGCUACUACUGAUUGGAUGUUUAAGCGAGGUUCUCGAACUGCUAGCGACUUAGCUUCGGUGAGGUCGCAGUGUGGGAAGUUAACCUAGCUUUGGUGUCUAGAGGAAGUAAAAGUCGUAACA
Molecule: ribosomal RNA, 329 nt
Filed under: uncultured eukaryote
Lineage: Eukaryota
Description: partial 18S ribosomal RNA
Rfam family: Eukaryotic small subunit ribosomal RNA
Source: RNAcentral